Carassius gibelio (silver crucian carp) is the source of this 1824-nucleotide long non-coding RNA. RefSeq lists it as uncharacterized. The record is from RefSeq and is a predicted model, not a curated record. Lineage: Eukaryota; Metazoa; Chordata; Actinopteri; Cypriniformes; Cyprinidae. The transcript is spliced from 3 exons.
AAAUAAUCCUUCUACAACGGAAGGGAGUGUCCAAGAUUUCAAUAUUUCUGAAGGGAGCUGCUGACAGAGAUGUAGGAAGCGCUGAAAAGAUUCUUCAGUGCUGAUGGCCUGCUGCAUCCAGCAGAGUCGGAGUGAACCUACUGUAAGACAACAUCUCCAAGAUGCUAUUGACCACAAGACUAGUACAGUAAGUCAAACCUCAAAUAUACAGUACACUAGUGUUCAAAAGCUUGAACUUGAUACAAUUUGUAAUAAUUAUCUUCUGCUCACCUCUGUAGUAAUUAUUUAAUUAAAAUAUGUAAAAAGAGUAAUAUUGUGAAAUAUUAUUACAAUUUAAAAUAGCUGUUUUCUAUGUGAAUAUAUAAACUAAUUUAUUCCUGUGAUGUGCAGCUGUAUUUUCAGCAUCAUUCCUCCAGUCUUCAGUGUCACAUGGAUCCCUCAGAAAUGCUGAUUUGCUGCUCAAGAAACUUAUUAUCAGCGUUGAAACAGUUGUGCUGAUUCAUUUUUUUUUUGUGGAAACCCUUAAUUUUCAGGAUUCACAUAUGAAUACAAAGUUCAAAAGACCUGCAUUUAUUUGAAACAGAUGAUUUUGAACAAUUUGAUGCGUGUAACACUAACAUUCAAAUGUUUGGAGUCUAUGUAACAACGAAUUUCAGCACGUCUGUAUUUUUACAUUGAUCAUAAUCAGAAAUGUUUCUUGAGCAGUAAAUCAUCAUAUUAGAAUGAUUUCUGAAGAUGUGUCACUGAAGACUGGAGUAAUGAUGCUGAAAAUUCAGCUUUGAUCAAAGGAAUAAAUGACAUUUUAACAUAAUAUUCACAUAGAAAAGAGUUGUUUUGAAUUGUAAUAGUCACAGUGUUACUAUUUUACUGUAAUUCGAUUCAAUAAAUGGAGCCGUGGUGAGCAUAAGAUAUUUUUUAUAAAGGCAUAAAAUAUCUUACAGACCCCAAACUCUUGAAUGGUUGUGUAAAUUACAGUUAUGAUGUUCCUCCCAGUUUAAUUUUAUUAAAAUGUAUUAAAUGUUACUCUGGCAUAUGCAGUCCAUUCUAUAGAGACUGUGUCUGUUCCCCAAAAACAGACAACAAAUAAUAUGUUUAUUAAGGGAUCUAGAAAAAUUAUUUCAGUUUAAACCUACUAGAUUAAAAAUAGUACUCAAUGUACUCCAUUGAUGAAAUAGUAAAAAGUGCACAUUGCCUGAAAUGAUAUGAACAGCAGCUAUGCUAAUCUUUCUCCCUUUGCCUUCCUGUUUCUGCAAAUGUCCAUCCCAAGGUUAUUAGAAACUGCACAGCACAGGACUUGCAGGACUUGUGAGGGCUUCAGAUGAUACCAGUACUCAAAAGACCUUAGAUGAUGGCAACUAUAGAUGAACAUACAAACUACGGCCACUGCAAAAAAGAUUCUAAUUUGAAAUAAGUUUAUAAUGCAUGUUCGCUACUCCCAAUUCAGAAGACUGAAUCAGCCUGUGUAUCUGAAUGUUUCUCAUACUCACUCCUCUCUGCCGCGUCUGAAUUUGGGAUUUUCCUUAGCUGUCAGUUAUAAACGUCAAAAUUAAAAGAAAUAAACAUUUGAAAUAUAUCAGUCUGUGUGUAAUGAAUAAAUAUAAUAUACAAGUUUCAUUUUUUGAAUGGAAUUAGUGAAAUAAAUCAACUUUUUGAUGAUAUUCUAAUUAUAUGACCAACACCUGUAUAUCAUUGCUCUUUUGUUGAUUUUGAUUGCUUCCAUUGUCCUCAUUUGUAAGUUGCUUUGGAUAAAAGUGUCUGCUAAAUGUAAAUGUAAUGUUAAUGUGUAUUUAACUAUAUUUAUAAAUAUUUAUCUGUAUUUUUUAU